AAUAACAACCCUAUUGCGGAAAGCUAGUAGGUUAUAGUUGCCGUUAUGAUUGUAUUGGAUACUAAAACAGGAAGGCUAUAUAAAUCAGUAUACUUAAAAACGCAGAUAACAACCCUUAGUUCACAUUUUUGGGAAGCGUUUGGAAAAUAUGAAAGAAUAAAACGCUGAGCAAAUAGGCGACUGCAACCGAAAAUCAGCAUCUUUCAAAUAUUAAAAUACACACGUUCGUUAGGCACAGUUAUUUAGACAACAGCACGACCUCUAUACAGCAGGCUUGCAGUUGUCGCUGCCGCUAAAUUAAAACCAUUUCUAAUUUUGCCGACAACAAUGGGCAGCUGUAGUGUUGCCCCUAAUAUGUGAAAUGUAAAAUUAUUCAUAGCUCUAAUAAGUCUAACGUGAUUUUAUUAACAGAAGCAUAACAUAGCGCUGAUAUAUAAUUUGUAAUAAGAAUUGAUAAUUUAAAACAAUAAAAUUUUUUUGUUUUUUUUUGUACAAAAAAGUUUCACUUUGAACAAAAUAUUUCAUUGGAGUGAAAGGUUUUAGUACGGCAACAAUGAAAUUGUGUACAUCAGCUGGUUAAUAUGUCGCUACCGCCAUCUAAAUGUUCAAAAAGCUGGCGUCAAGAGGACAAGAAAAUUUCGCUGUCGUGCAGUCGUCUUUGUGUUCAAAGCAUAAGAAAAAGUUCAUUAGAAUUUAAGGGGUUUGGUGUAGUCAAAGGCAUACAAAAAUUAGAAUUUUAAAUAAUUGUUUUGUCAGAAAAUUAUUUUAUUUUAUAAAAGUAAAGGUAGUAUUAUUAAAUAAGUUGCUAUUUGACUUGACAUAAAUUUGAAAAAAAAUAUAUGCUUUAAAAGUAAUGGCUGCUUUUAGUAAUCCAGUUCCAACCGAAGAAUCUUUUGGUGACCAUCACUAAUCCGCUAAGAUUCAUCUAAAACCUAUCCGACAAAAAAAACUCGAAUCGAAGCCUUACAUUCAUAGAAUUAACAAACUCAAAAUAAAAAACAUAACGCCAGUCCCAGUUAGUGGAACUCCAAUACAUUCAAACAAUUAACGUGGAAAUUAUUGUAACACAUCGUGCAACACAUAAGGAGUUUGCGUAAGAAAGGGACGAACGAUCACACGUUCACAAGAGUUUCGGUUAGAAUUGCCAACUGGGACUCAAGAAACUUAUAGAAACUUUAAUAAAAAUCUUUGGUAGCGCUGUUGGGUAAAUAAUCGGUCAUUUAAUCGAUUGUUGGUUUACAGGCGUACGCUUACAAAAUUUCAAUCACAGCGCCACCAUUGAUUGGCAGGUUUAGAGAAUGGCCACAAAUUAAUUUUAUUUUUAAGAAAAUUUGCCUUUAUUUUAGAUACAUUUAGCUUAAUUCCGUAAAUCCAUAAACCUUUUAAUAUUUUUAAAGAGACAAGUUUUCCCUUUUCAAAUCAGGGAAUAUUUAGUGGCAUCACCGUUAUAAUCUCUCGCCGCCUUUUGUGUACACACUCAUACUCGUGAUGUGAUGUUAUUUAUUAAAACUCGCUUAAAUUACCAUUUUACUAGACUCGUUUGCUAUAACACGUUGUAUAGAUACUUGUUACCCUUCCCAAAGCAUUUAACGCGUAAUGGCCGAUCCGCUGCUGGGUUGCUAACAAUAUACAUUGUGGCAUGACCAGCAUAUUGUAUUUUUAAAUUGAAAUAUUUAAAAGCGCCAGAAUAGCAGACGUGUAAACAUUUUGGUUAAAAGAUUGAAGCAUAUAAUAUUAAUGUGCAAUGAUUUGUGAAAAUAAUGUGUACGUGGGAAAUUAAUGUAACGAGUGAAAGGCUAAAACGUUGAUAUGGACAGUGCAAAAUACACAUUGCAACGAAGGUCAACAAAACACCAACUAACAGUAACAUAGGAGGAAAUAAACUUCGAUAAAAGUAUUGAAAGAAACAAUUUUAUUAAAUAUAUGGUAUAUGCACAUUUUAUGUUAUAUGUAUGUAUGUCUAUAAAGGAGCUGAUGUGUGCUAAUAUCUGUUAAAGUUGAUAAAUUUUUUCAUGCAUGCACAUGUAGUUAUGGGGUUAUUUCGUGGAAAGUAAACGUUUAGUGUAUGAUAUCGGGCUUUAGAAUUUUAUUACAAACUUUUAUUACAAAAACGGCUGUGUGUAUUUUAAUCGAUGUGCAUAAAUUAUGUGUAUACGUGUGGCACAAGAAAAUAGAAAGUAAACCAUAACAGCUUGGAUAUUGAGUGGUUGUUGUACUAAUACAUACCUACAAGUACAGGCGCAUUUUGGAGCAAAAGAAGUAUAUCGUCACCUGAAAUGCAAAACAUCAAAAACUUCCAAAGUGAAGUUUUUUAAUGAUUACAAUUCAUUGCAUCAUAUUACAUAUAUGUAUGUGCAAAAUUUUAAGCUAUCAGCGUAUCCAGUUUUAAAGGACAGACUUGACUAAAUAUGGAUUUGGUGUCGCAAAAUCAUCAAUAAACGCUGAAAACGACAGCAUGAUAAGUGCAAUAAUAAAUAACAUUCGUUUACAACCGUUUUUGUAUUUGAUUUUGCACUUUUAUUUAAAUUUUAUCCACUCCACAUCCCAGAGCAGUUUGAACGAUUUCAUAGCCAUGGAGCGUCCAUAUUUUGAUGAUAUUAGCCCACGAAACGUAUCGACAGUAGCUGACGAACCCGCCAUAUUAAAAUGCCGAGUUAAGAACAAAGGCAACCGUACGGUUUCAUGGAUGCGCAAACGAGAUCUUCAUAUUCUAACCACCAACAUUUAUACAUACACUGGCGAUCAGCGUUUUUCCGUCUUACAUCCGCCAGGAAGUGAUGAUUGGGACUUGAAAAUCGAUUACGCACAACAAAGAGAUAGCGGAAUUUACGAAUGUCAAGUAAAUACAGAGCCGAAAAUCAAUUUGGCAGUGUCACUGGAAAUAAAUGCGGAGGCCGAUAAUAGAGAUAAGAUAUCCGAAUCCCUAUACUAUGAUGCAAAAGCGGCGCGUGCGAAAAUUCUCGGUUCAACAGAAAUUCAUGUAAAACGGGAUAGUACAAUCGCAUUAGCUUGUUCCGUAAACAUUCAUGCAUCUUCCGUGGCUUGGUAUCAUGGCGCGUCGAUUGUUGACUUUGAUUCUCAACGUGGAGGAAUCAGUUUAGAAACGGAAAAAACGGAUGUAGGUACUACAAGCCGUUUAAUGCUGACUCGAGCUUCGCUGCGUGACUCUGGCAACUAUACUUGUGUACCAACCAGUGCAAUACCAGCAUCUGUAAGGGUUCAUGUGCUCACGGGUGAGCAACCCGCAGCUAUGCAAACAAGUAGAACCAAUAUGGUCUUGCAAACACCCGUAUAUUUAACAAUUGUCACUUUAUGUAUCAUAACUAUUGUAUCUCGGUACCAAAACUCAAUCAUAUCACAGACGGCUUCCAACUACGCCAACUGCAAUAUAUGUCAACGAAGGUGACUGGACUCUUAUCGACGAAGUCUUUUUAACAAAUUGAAUUCAUUCAUGAAUUGAAAAGCAUUCAUGAAUAUUGAUAUAGUACUUACUAUGGAAUUAUGUCAAGAUAUACUGGUGUUGUGGUAACUACGCAUACUUGCUUUGGUUCCCUAUAUACAUACAUACAUAAAAAACAAAACACCACAUUGAACAAAAGAUUUAUAAGAAAAACAAUAAUACUAAUACUCUUAAUAGAAGAUAAUAUAAUAAAAUGAAACAAUACACAUAAUAACGGUAAAUAUAAUUAUAUAAUUGAAAGAAAUUAAACAAAAAUUAUUAAAAAUUAACAAACAUAAAACUAACUGAAUAAAUGUAAAAUAUCCUAUAUUAAAUUACUACAGUUCGCAAGGGACGAUAUAUGAUUAAAAACUAGUGGAUAUUUCAAAAUACCAAUAAAAUCAAACCAAGUUGUAUAGGAUUAUAAAAUAAUGUAUUGAAUGUUAGAAUCGUCAAAGUGGCAACCCACACAUUCAGUCAGAUUAAUAUAUAUCUAGGGUUUAUGAAUUUUUGAUGAUGAUUGGCAUUUUCAUACUUUGCUGUCAAAUGUUAAGUAUGAUAUACAUAUAAGAAGGAAAAUUCAACAAUAACUUUUGUUUAAAUUAAUGAACAUCAAAAUAUUAGUUUAGAUGUUAAACGAAUUUUUUAAUAAAAAUAUGUACA
This is a non-coding RNA of Bactrocera oleae (olive fruit fly), 4102 nucleotides long. NCBI's taxonomy places the organism in Eukaryota, Metazoa, Arthropoda, Insecta, Diptera, Tephritidae. The record is from RefSeq and is a predicted model, not a curated record.